GCCGCCCGCAGGGCCCGGGCUGACCCCCUCCCGCCCCGCGCCUCACCGGGUCCGGAGGGAGGGGGUGCGGCGGCCGCGCUCAGCCAGCUCCCCGGAGUCCGUCCCGCGCGCCCACUCUGGAAGCCGCGGCCCCGCCGUGUUCCCGAGCGCGCGGCGCUGGCUCUGCGGGCGGGAGGGGGCAGCGCGGGGACCGGCCCCCGCCCGGAGGCCGCCCCGCGGGGCGGGGAGGAGGCGGGGCCCGAGGCGGGCCGCCCGGCGCUUCGGAGUCCGGCCGCCGCCCCCCAGCGGCCCGCGGUGCUGCGCGGAGGGAGGAGUUUUCCCACAAGCGGCUGCCGGGAAGCGCCGGGAAGCGCCGGGACCCCGGCUCCAGGCGGUAUAAUGUGUCCACCAGAUGCUGUGAAAACAACGAAGGAUAGGACCUCACCACCAACCCUCGAAGAACUUAUCCUUUAGCCGGGAAGAACACUGUCGUAACGUGGGAGUCUGGGUUUUAAACAAACACACCAGAACAAUUUAGUAUCGAGAGAUGCUGGAACCCCCUGUUUGGCAGUCUUCAGAACACUUUGGUUUAGAGUAAUGUGUUAUCACAUACCUCUGUCUUAUACCUUGUUGGGAGUGUGAAACCAAAGGAGUUUUGGCUUUUCCAAAAAUCAAAUCCAACCUUUUAGGGCUGUUGUCACUUAGCUUUGAACUUCAGUGGUUGUCCAGAUCUUAUCUCCCUCAUCAAACAGAAACUUCCUUGAAGACCGAGUAAAUGUCUGAUUUAUCUCUCACCCUGCACCAGCUUGGUGUCUGUGAUGGAUAAGUACAUGAAAAAUA
This is a long non-coding RNA of Pipistrellus kuhlii (Kuhl's pipistrelle), 819 nucleotides long. RefSeq lists it as uncharacterized. The record is from RefSeq and is a predicted model, not a curated record. The transcript is spliced from 2 exons. Lineage: Eukaryota; Metazoa; Chordata; Mammalia; Chiroptera; Vespertilionidae.